GAUGAACGCUAGCUACAGGCUUAACACAUGCAAGUCGAGGGGAAACGACAUCGAAAGCUUGCUUUUGAUGGGCGUCGACCGGCGCACGGGUGAGUAACGCGUAUCCAACCUGCCCAUCACUUGGGGAUAACCUUGCGAAAGUAAGACUAAUACCCAAUGAUAUCUCUAGAAGACAUCUGAAAGAGAUUAAAGAUUUAUCGGUGAUGGAUGGGGAUGCGUCUGAUUAGCUUGUUGGCGGGGUAACGGCCCACCAAGGCAACGAUCAGUAGGGGUUCUGAGAGGAAGGUCCCCCACAUUGGAACUGAGACACAGUCCAAACUCCUACGGGAGGCAGCAGUAUGGAAUAUUGGUCAAUGGACGAGAGCCUGAACCAGCCAAGUAGCGUGCAGGAAGACGGCCCUAGGGGUUGUAAACUGCUUUUAUAAGGGAAUAAAGUGAGAGUCGUGACUCUUUUUGUAUGUACCUUAUGAAUAAGGACCGGCUAAUUCCGUG
RNAcentral lists this ribosomal RNA (492 nucleotides) under uncultured bacterium. RNAcentral's name for it is "partial 16S ribosomal RNA". It matches the Rfam family "Bacterial small subunit ribosomal RNA", at positions 28 to 507 of the family's 1533-position model. The record is from RNAcentral.